GCCUGGGUGGCUCAGUGGUUGAGCAUCUGCCUUUGGCUCAGGUCAUGAUCUUGGGGUCCUGGGAUCAAGUCCCAUAUCAGGCU
RNAcentral lists this transfer RNA (83 nucleotides) under Canis lupus familiaris (dog). It matches the Rfam family "tRNA". Rfam says of the family: Transfer RNA (tRNA) molecules are approximately 80 nucleotides in length. Their secondary structure includes four short double-helical elements and three loops (D, anti-codon, and T loops). Lineage: Eukaryota; Metazoa; Chordata; Mammalia; Carnivora; Canidae. RNAcentral also lists the same sequence under 2 other names. The record is from Rfam by way of RNAcentral.